UAGAGUUUGAUCAUGGCUCAGGACGAACGCUGGCGGCGUGCUUAACACAUGCAAGUCGAACGCUGAAGCCCGGUGCUUGCACUGGGUGGAUGAGUGGCGAACGGGUGAGUAACACGUGAGUAACCUGCCCCGGACUCUGGGAUAAGCGCUGGAAACGGCGUCUAAUACUGGAUAUGCACCAUGGCCGCAUGGCCUGUGGUGGGAAAGAUUUAUCGGUUCGGGAUGGACUCGCGGCCUAUCAGCUAGAUGGUGAGGUAAUGGCUCACCAUGGCGACGACGGGUAGCCGGCCUGAGAGGGUGACCGGCCACGCUGGGACUGAGACACGGCCCAGACUCCUACGGGAGGCAGCAGUGGGGAAUAUUGCACAAUGGGCGCAAGCCUGAUGCAGCAACGCCGCGUGAGGGAUGACGGCCUUCGGGUUGUAAACCUCUUUUAGUAGGGAAGAAGCGCAAGUGACGGUACCUGCAGAAAAAGCACCGGCUAACUACGUGCCAGCAGCCGCGGUAAU
RNAcentral lists this ribosomal RNA (509 nucleotides) under uncultured bacterium. RNAcentral describes it as "bacterial SSU rRNA". It matches the Rfam family "Bacterial small subunit ribosomal RNA", at positions 1 to 524 of the family's 1533-position model. The record is from RNAcentral.